This 115-nucleotide ribosomal RNA is filed under the name Haliaeetus albicilla (white-tailed eagle). Lineage: Eukaryota; Metazoa; Chordata; Aves; Accipitriformes; Accipitridae. The record is from RNAcentral.
GGCAGCAGCCAGCACGGGAAGAAAAGGAUCUCAUCUGAUGUCAGGAGCUAAGCAGGGUCAGGUCUUGUCAGUACUUGGAUAGGAGACUGGUUGGGAACACCAGGUGCUGUAGGCU